ACUGACAGGAGAGCAUUUUGA
RNAcentral lists this microRNA (21 nucleotides) under Homo sapiens (human). RNAcentral describes it as "hsa-miR-3660". The record is from miRBase by way of RNAcentral. Lineage: Eukaryota; Metazoa; Chordata; Mammalia; Primates; Hominidae.